AUUGAACGCUGGCGGCAGGCCUAACACAUGCAAGUCGAACGGUAACAGGAAGCAGCUUGCUGCUUUGCUGACGAGUGGCGGACGGGUGAGUAAUGUCUGGGAAACUGCCUGAUGGAGGGGGAUAACUACUGGAAACGGUAGCUAAUACCGCAUAACGUCGCAAGACCAAAGAGGGGGACCUUCGGGCCUCUUGCCAUCGGAUGUGCCCAGAUGGGAUUAGCUAGUAGGUGGGGUAACGGCUCUCCUAGGCGACGAUCCCUAGCUGGUCUGAGAGGAUGACCAGCCACACUGGAACUGAGACACGGUCCAGACUCCUACGGGAGGCAGCAGUGGGGAAUAUUGCACAAUGGGCGCAAGCCUGAUGCAGCCAUGCCGCGUGUAUGAAGAAGGCCUUCGGGUUGUAAAGUACUUUCAGCAGGGAGGAAGGGAGUAAAGUUAAUACCUUUGCUCAUUGACGUUACCCGCAGAAGAAGCACCGGCUAACUCCGUG
This 490-nucleotide ribosomal RNA is filed under the name uncultured bacterium. RNAcentral describes it as "partial 16S ribosomal RNA". It matches the Rfam family "Bacterial small subunit ribosomal RNA", at positions 30 to 507 of the family's 1533-position model. The record is from RNAcentral.